RNAcentral lists this ribosomal RNA (755 nucleotides) under uncultured Inocybe. Its description in RNAcentral is "partial 28S ribosomal RNA". It matches the Rfam family "Eukaryotic large subunit ribosomal RNA", at positions 216 to 962 of the family's 3401-position model. The record is from RNAcentral. Lineage: Eukaryota; Fungi; Basidiomycota; Agaricomycetes; Agaricales; Cortinariaceae.
GAAUCCCGUCUUUGACAUGGACUGCCUGUACAUUAUGGUGCGCUCUCAAAGAGUCGAGUUGUUUGGGAAUGCAGCUCAAAAUGGGUGGUAAAUGCCAUCUAAAGCUAAAUAUUGGCGAGAGACCGAUAGCGAACAAGUACCGUGAGGGAAAGAUGAAAGGAACUUUGGAAAGAGAGUUAAACAGUACGUGAAAUUGCUGAAAGGGAAACGCUUGAAGUCAGUCUCGUUGGCUAGAAAUCAGCCUUGCUUUUGCUUGGUGUACUUUCUGGUUGACGGGUCAGCAUCAAUUUUGACCAUUGGAUAAAGUCGUUGGGAAUGUGGCAUCUUCGGAUGUGUUAUAGCCCAUUGUCGCAUACAGUGGUUGGGAUUGAGGAACUCAGCACGCCGCAAGGCCGGGUUUCGACCACGUUCGUGCUCAGGAUGCUGGCAUAAUGGCUUUAAUCGACCCGUCUUGAAACACGGACCAAAGAGUCUAACAUGCCUGCGAGUGUUUGGGUGGAAAACCCAUGCGCGCAAUGAAAGUGAAAGUUGAGAUCCCCUCAGGGAGCAUUGACGCCCGGACCAGAAACUUUUGCGAAGGAUCCGCGGUAGAGCAUGUAUGUUGGGACCCGAAAGAUGGUGAACUAUGCCUGAAUAGGGUGAAGCCAGAGGAAACUCUGGUGGAGGCUCGUAGCGAUUCUGACGUGCAAAUCGAUCGUCAAAUUUGGGUAUAGGGGUGAAAGACUAAUCGAACCAUCUAGUAGCUGGUUCCUGCC